UACGUAGGGUGCAAGCGUUAUCCGGAAUUAUUGGGCGUAAAGAGCUCGUAGGCGGCUUGUCGCGUCGACUGUGAAAUCCCGCGGCUCAACUGCGGGUCUGCAGUCGAUACGGGCAGGCUAGAGUUCGGUAGGGGAGACUGGAAUUCCUGGUGUAGCGGUGAAAUGCGCAGAUAUCAGGAGGAACACCGGUGGCGAAGGCGGGUCUCUGGGCCGUAACUGACGCUGAGGAGCGAAAGCAUGGGGAGCGAACAGG
This 253-nucleotide ribosomal RNA is filed under the name uncultured bacterium. RNAcentral's name for it is "partial 16S ribosomal RNA". It matches the Rfam family "Bacterial small subunit ribosomal RNA", at positions 524 to 776 of the family's 1533-position model. The record is from RNAcentral.